This is a long non-coding RNA of Oxyura jamaicensis (ruddy duck), 155 nucleotides long. RefSeq lists it as uncharacterized. NCBI's taxonomy places the organism in Eukaryota, Metazoa, Chordata, Aves, Anseriformes, Anatidae. The transcript is spliced from 3 exons. The record is from RefSeq and is a predicted model, not a curated record.
CAGUUUCCGUGACUUAUGUUCCUGUAACUUAAUAGAGACUUAUGAUUACAAAAAGAAAGACACAGUGUAGUAACACUUGACAUGAGAACUUCCACAUUGCACCCAUUACCUCCACUGUAAUUUUCCAGGUGACUAUAUCCUAUAUGCCACUGGUU